Long non-coding RNA from Mytilus californianus (California mussel), 415 nucleotides. RefSeq lists it as uncharacterized. NCBI's taxonomy places the organism in Eukaryota, Metazoa, Mollusca, Bivalvia, Mytilida, Mytilidae. The record is from RefSeq and is a predicted model, not a curated record. The transcript is spliced from 4 exons.
UAUAGGAGACUUAUAGAGAAUUAGAACAAUGAAGAGUGUACUUGCAAUAAUCCUGCUGUUUGUGUGUCUUGUUGGUAGGUUUACUUGCUAUAUAUAGUUCUGAAUGAUAUCCGUAAAUGCACAGUCAGUAAUGAUGACCAGAAAUCAAUGUAGACGAAUUGUUAAAGGCUGUAUGUCGAGGCAUUACAACAAGUCUGUGAGAGCAGACAGGAAUUGUAAUGACUGUUGCAGACGAUCGGGUUGUGCCCGUGGUGAUUGUAAACGCAGACAUUGUGAAUGUAAAAGAUGUUAGAGAGGAUAAAUAAUCGUCAUAUGUUACUGAAUUACAAUUAACUGUUUACGUACUAUGCUGAAUUCUCGUUAUAUUCGAGACAUUAUUUGGCGAUAUUAAAUAAAAAAAGUUAACGCAUUUCAA